UACGUAGGGGGCAAGCGUUGUUCGGAAUUACUGGGCGUAAAGCGUGCGCAGGCGGCUUCUCAAGUCAGGGGUGAAAUCCCGGAGCUCAACUCCGGAACUGCCUUUGAUACUGGCGAUCUUGAGUCCGGGAGAGGUGAGUGGAACUGCGAGUGUAGAGGUGAAAUUCGUAGAUAUUCGCAAGAACACCAGUGGCGAAGGCGGCUCACUGGCCCGGUACUGACGCUGAGGUGCGAAAGCGUGGGGAGCAAACAGG
This 253-nucleotide ribosomal RNA is filed under the name uncultured bacterium. RNAcentral's name for it is "partial 16S ribosomal RNA". It matches the Rfam family "Bacterial small subunit ribosomal RNA", at positions 524 to 776 of the family's 1533-position model. The record is from RNAcentral.